GACAGAGGGGGCAAGCGUUGCUCGGAAUUACUGGGCGUAAAGGGCGCGUAGGCGGGAUGGCAAGUCGGUCGUGAAAUCCUUCGGCUCAACCGAAGAACGUCGAUCGAUACUGCUGUUCUUGAGGGUUGCAGAGGAGACUGGAAUUCCCGGUGUAGCGGUGAAAUGUGUAGAGAUCGGGAGGAACACCAGUGGCGAAGGCGGGUCUCUGGACAGUUCCUGACGCUGAGGCACGAAGGUCAGGGGAGCAAACGGG
This 253-nucleotide ribosomal RNA is filed under the name uncultured bacterium. RNAcentral describes it as "partial 16S ribosomal RNA". It matches the Rfam family "Bacterial small subunit ribosomal RNA", at positions 524 to 776 of the family's 1533-position model. The record is from RNAcentral.